Trematomus bernacchii (emerald rockcod) is the source of this 398-nucleotide non-coding RNA. The record is from the annotation of a RefSeq genome assembly. NCBI's taxonomy places the organism in Eukaryota, Metazoa, Chordata, Actinopteri, Perciformes, Nototheniidae.
AGAAGAGAAGCUCCAUCAGGUCACCUUCAUCAACACCAACCAUGUUCUCUGUAGCUCUGCUGCUGCUGCUGGCUGCUGGAUCCUGUGUGAAGUGUGAGCAGUUGAUACAGCCAGCCUCUGUGACUGUGCAGCCAGGUCAACGUCUGACCAUCACCUGUCAGGUCUCUUAUUCUGUUAGCAGCCACUACACAGCCUGGAUCAGACAGCCUGCAGGGAAAGGACUGGAGUGGAUAGGUAGCAAAUACACUGGAGCUACAUUAUAUAAAGAUUCACUGAAGAGCAAGUUCAGUAUCGACUUAGACUCUUCCAGCAACACAGUGACUCUGAACGGACAGAGCGUGCAGCCUGGAGACUCUGCUGUGUAUUACUGUGCCAGAGACACACUGUGACACACACCA